GACGAACGCUGGCGGCGUGCUUAACACAUGCAAGUCGAGCGGUAAGGCCCUUUCGGGGGUACACGGGCGGCGAACGGGUGAGUAACACGUGGGUGACCUGCCCUCAGCUCUGGGAUAAGCCUGGGAAACCGGGUCUAAUACUGGAUAUGACUCCAUGACGCAUGUUGUGGGGUGGAAAGCCUUGUGCGGCUGAGGAUGGGCCCGCGGCCUAUCAGCUUGUUGGUGGGGUGANGGCCUACCAAGGCGACGACGGGUAGCCGGCCUGAGAGGGCGACCGGCCACACUGGGACUGAGACACGGCCCAGACUCCUACGGGAGGCAGCAGUGGGGAAUCUUGCGCAAUGGGCGAAAGCCUGACGCAGCGACGCCGCGUGAGGGAUGACGGCCUCGG
RNAcentral lists this ribosomal RNA (391 nucleotides) under uncultured bacterium. RNAcentral describes it as "bacterial SSU rRNA". It matches the Rfam family "Bacterial small subunit ribosomal RNA", at positions 28 to 420 of the family's 1533-position model. The record is from RNAcentral.